CAUAAACGGUGCGGGAUUGGCUUUGCUGACCCGCUGCUCGGCAGCUCCUUUCAUCUGCCCGGGCUCACGUGUCCCACAUCAAGGAGGCAAUUUCCUUUACAACAGCUCUGGCUGUGCGAGCCUCAAUACCAGCAGUCAUCUUAGUUUUCAGGAUCGGCGGACUACAAAGAAAGACGAAAGAGAACAACUGAACGCCAUUCCCUUCCCCCCGGCUCAGCCUGGCACAGAACUGCCCGGCUUCUCCCCGCUUGCUCUGCCGCCAGCCGAGGGGAUGCUGAGCUCAGGGGGACUCCGGUUGUGGAUGAAGCAGAAGGGAUUCGACAGAGAGAGAACUGCUCCUUUCUACCCCUCUAAAGCUCCUAAGAACGGUGCUCAGAGCCAUCCUCGGCCAUCUCGGCUGCUGUGCUGUUGGGAGGCUGUGUAGCACCCCGGGUCCCUCCUGUUUGCAGUCUGCGCCACGGAGUCAGAAAGGCUCUCCAUAACCAAAAGAGGAGGGUGGAAGAGACCACAUUCAGGCUUAAAAUCUCGUGUUCUACUCAGCUGUGACAGCACAAACCACCUUGGCAGUGUUUUUUCUCCCCUGGAUUCAAUAUUCUGGACCUGCAGCAGCUCUGCAGAGGGUUUGUUAUGGGGACGUCAGCUGGACCACAAAGCAAACACUUUGUGAGGUGCUCACCUGCAAUUUCACCACAAACAGGAGAGGUCCUGGAGCGAACCGAUGGCAUUGGGAGUUUGCUCCUGGCCAGCCCAGAUUGCCUCCAUCUACCAAACCUCAUCCCAGUGGUCUCUCCUGAAGCUCAUGUUUGCCACCCAUGGAGCCACAGUAAUCAUUCGGUGCAGCCAAGAGCAUCACAGCGAUGCUGUAUCCAUCCUGAGCUGCAGCGGUGGCUGUCCUUUCCCCAGCAUCCCUGACCCAACCUGGGUCCUGAAUGCUCUUUGUGGUGAGGCCCCGGCACUGCCCAGAGUUGUGGGUGCCCCAUCCCUGGAAGUGCCUGAGGCCAUGGAUGGGUCCUGAGCAGCCUGAGCUGAAGGGCAGCCAGCCCUUGCCGACGUUGUCCCGCAUUUUCACUUCUCCAAAAAGAUUUAAUUAUGUCAACAAUGGCAUCGAUGAGUUACUGCGACAUUUUGAAGCCCAGCAAAAAUGGUGGUUAGAGCACUCCCAGUCAACACGCCUCCUACCACCGCAUUCCGAGUGCAGUAUUAAGGUUCAUGGAGUUCAGAAACAAACUGUUUAAUUGCUGGACACAGGAUAUAUUUUGAUCUCCUUCAAUAAAAGAAAAUGAAUGAAA
This is a long non-coding RNA of Gallus gallus (chicken), 1289 nucleotides long. Lineage: Eukaryota; Metazoa; Chordata; Aves; Galliformes; Phasianidae. The record is from Ensembl.